UAGCGUAUAUUAAAGUUGUUGCAGUUAAAACGCUCGUAGUCGGAUUUCGGGGCGGGUCUGCCGGUUUGCCGAUGGGUAUAUACUGGUGGGGGCGCCCUUCCUUCCGGAGACCGCGCCUCCUCUUAACUGAGCGGGCGGGGGAGACGGAUCGUUUACUUUGAAAAAAUCAGAGUGUUUCAAGCAGGCAUGUCGCUUUUGCAUGGAUUAGCAUGGGAUAAUGAAAUAGGACUUUGGUGCUAUUUUGUUGGUUUCGAACACCGAAGUAAUGAUUAACAGGGACAGUCAGGGGCACUCGUAUUCCGCAGAGAGAGGUGAAAUUCUCAGACCCGCGGAAGACGAACCACUGCGAAAGCAUUUG
This 358-nucleotide ribosomal RNA is filed under the name Haptophyta environmental samples. RNAcentral's name for it is "SSU rRNA". It matches the Rfam family "Eukaryotic small subunit ribosomal RNA", at positions 595 to 957 of the family's 1831-position model. Lineage: Eukaryota; Haptophyta. The record is from RNAcentral.